This 937-nucleotide non-coding RNA is filed under the name Boana faber (blacksmith treefrog). RNAcentral's name for it is "partial 12S ribosomal RNA". It matches the Rfam family "Bacterial small subunit ribosomal RNA". The record is from RNAcentral. Lineage: Eukaryota; Metazoa; Chordata; Amphibia; Anura; Hylidae.
AAGGUCUGGUCCUAGCCUUGAAGUCAGUUUUUACUUUACUUAUACAUGCAAGUCUCCGCACCCCUGUGAAAACGCCCUUAAACUCCUAUCAGGAACAAGGAGCUGGUAUCAGGCACAACAAUUAGCCCAAGACACCUAGCUACGCCACACCCACAAGGGAACUCAGCAGUAAUUAACAUUGAACAUAAGCGCCAGCUUGAUUCAGUCAAAGUAAUAAGGGCAGGCAAAUUUGGUGCCAGCCGCCGCGGUUACACCAUGUGGCCCAAAUUGAUCUCUUUCGGCGUAAAGAGUGAUUAAAGUGAUGCUAUACUGUAGUUUAACUAUUAUUAAGUCGUGACAAGCUUAUACCUAGGAAACUCAAAAACGAAAGUUACUACACCAAAAACAACUUGAACUCACAAUAGCUAAGAAACAAACUAGGAUUAGAGANNNNNNNNNNNNNNNNNNNNNNNNNNNNNNNNNNNNACAAACGCCAGGGAACUACGAGCAAAGCUUAAAACCCAAAGGACUUGACGGUGCCCCACAUCCCCCUAGAGGAGCCUGUCCUAUAAUCGAUAACCCCCGUUAAACCUCACCAUUUUUAGCCAAAUCAGUCUGUAUACCUCCGUCGUCAGCUUACCACAUGAGUGGAUCAUAGUAAGUUCAAUGUCAUGCCUAUCAAUACGUCAGGUCAAGGUGCAACUUAUAAAAUGGGAAGAGAUGGGCUACACUUUCUAACUUAGAAGAAACGGAGGACUACUAUGAAAACUAGUCUAAAGGUGGAUUUAGCAGUAAAAAAAGACCAGAGAGCUUUUUUUAAUCCGGCCCUGGGGUGUGUACACACCGCCCGUCACCCUCUUCGCAGCCAUACAACAGUUAUUAACAAAACUUGCACAGUAGAAGAGGUAAGUCGUAACAUGGUAAGUAUACCGGAAGGUGUGCUUGGAAACAAAAUGUA